UCGAUGCCGGCUAACUCCGUUCUCCUUGUGUUGGCCGCACCGCUUUUAGAAAACGCAGCUCGAGACAGGGGCACCUCCUACAUUUGAACUUGAACGCAACCUAUAUAAGUCAUCCUGCACCCUCCUUCUCUUUUUUAUUUUUUGUUUGUGUGUGUCAUGAACGAGACUGCGCCGGACGCUUCCCAUAUGCUUUUGCAAGCAAUUCGCCUUUUUCCAUUUUUCUGCGUGUAUCAAUUUGAAGGUGCCCGGACACACAACUCGAACCAGCGUAUCAAGUAAGGAAAGCCAGAAAACUGCCACCUCUGAAGUGUUCUACACGAGUCAACAAACGCCUCCAUCCCAGUGAACCGACGACAGCUCCUGAACGUAAUUUUUCGGAUCUUCUAUAGCAACGCGGCCUUUGUCCUCGGCGCUGGUCAGACAACGUCACUUUUUGGCUAACAAGGCUCCGCGACCACCAGUCGAGCCCGUGACCUCGAGCCCGGCAGAGCAACGCCACAGCUACUAAGCCACCAUGACGAGCAGCACGGCCUGGGUGGUCUGCGUUCGAUCAGCCAAGGCCAGAAAAGGUUAAGAAUGCCCAGUCACUGGUCACUACAUGUCCAGAAUGCUAGCUGAGCUCUGCGAGAAGAAGCGGGCCUAGUGUUCCUUGAACGCUCAGCGUCAGCACCGUUAACAGCGUAGGAGACUACUGCCUCGGCUGUUAUGACACAGAUUGCGGACGAUCUAUGGGGCACAAGAUUACCAGAACACAAAACCCGUUGAUGGCAGUAGCUGCAGCGCUGGUUGCACCACUUGGCGAGUUUUUUCAACCACAAUGUGCCAAACAUGUUUGUGCUCCAUCAUUGUUCUCGCAUCAGAAGGGAGGACAAUUUUUUUAAAAAAGCUCAGCAAAUAAUGAAGACUGCCUUCUCAUGAUUAUG
Non-coding RNA from Dermacentor albipictus, 923 nucleotides. Lineage: Eukaryota; Metazoa; Arthropoda; Arachnida; Ixodida; Ixodidae. The record is from RefSeq and is a predicted model, not a curated record.